GUGUGAAGUUCAGCUAACCAAAGCUGCAAUUGGGAUUUGCUUCCCUGAUUUAAAUAUAGGCAAUGCUUCAACUAUUCAAUAUGUUUACCUUAAUGGUCAAAAAUCUUACCGUGUGAAUGGAGUCACUACUCAGGGCUGGUUCACCAUUGAUUUCUCCUUGAGAGAUGUCCAGAAUGUUUCUUUGAUUUGAGGAAUAUUCUCGCAACAGAUAGAUUCGAUGGAAAUGGAUAUACGAUUCUCACGAUUCAAAAUGUAACCGAGCAAAUUAAGCCACAAGGAGGUUUUUGGUUGCAUGUUCAGCACAAUGCAUUCUAUGAGCAACACAAUUUAAGCAUGAGCAGUUUUCUAGUAUCAUUUUCAAGAACUGUUUCCAUUGACUUCAUCUCUUCUCCUGAAGUGAAUUUCUUUAAGAAAAUUACUGGCCAUUUCAAGUGGAAUGGACCGAGUUUUGUGUUACAGUUUCUUGGGAAAGAAGAUUUCGAGCCGACAAUAAACUGAACCUACGGUUCUAUCUUGAGUAACUUAGGUUUUGUCAAGACGUUUGCUUCAAAGAUUCUUGUUCCCAAGUUACAUAUUUCCACUCGAUGACAAGCAGUACUUGCUUCCUCCUACAUCAUUAGUUCAAGAUGCUCACAAAGCAGGAUUAGAAGUAUAUGUGUCAGGUUUCGCAAAUGAUAAUGAUCUCGCUUAUAACUAUAGUUACGAUCCAGUGUCGGAGUAUCAAUCUUUUGUGGACAAUGGUGAUUUCUCUGUGGAUGGUGUGAUCUCUGAUUUUCCUGUGACUGCAUCUGCAUCAAUCAAUCUGUAAGCAAAAUCUCUUCUACAGACCAUUUUUCCUUAAAACGUUGUUGGAAAUACUUAAAAGUUUCCUUUUCAAAUU
This is a non-coding RNA of Camelina sativa (false flax), 880 nucleotides long. NCBI's taxonomy places the organism in Eukaryota, Viridiplantae, Streptophyta, Magnoliopsida, Brassicales, Brassicaceae. The record is from RefSeq and is a predicted model, not a curated record.